Molecule: non-coding RNA, 634 nt
Organism: Hydra vulgaris (swiftwater hydra)
Lineage: Eukaryota; Metazoa; Cnidaria; Hydrozoa; Anthoathecata; Hydridae
Source: RefSeq, a predicted model, not a curated record
AUUUACUUAAGAUUAGUAUUAGUACUAUUUCUAAAUAUCCAUGUUUAUGUUGCAUACAUACACAUAUAUGACAUAUGUGUGUGUGUUUUUUUUAAGCAUUUGCAAGUUUUCAAAUACAUGCAAAGUAAAGUAAGUAAAGAAAACAAUACUUUUCAAUUAUUAAAUUUAGUAUUAUUAAUUAAUUUUAAUUUUUUACAUUUUUUAUCCUUAUUUUUAUAACAUGAUCAAUUAAAAUGCACUAGAACUUUGUUCUGGUGCAUUUUAAUUGAACUAAGAAUUUUAAUUUAUUAACCUUUUAUUAGAAUUUUAAUUUAUUAACCUAGGUAAAUAAAUUUCCAAUUAAGAGUGUUGAUAGAGUUGCAGCAUUUUUAAAGAAAUAUCAAUGUGUCCCUAAUGUGCUAUUGUUCAGACUGUUGGCGACAUGACACAUGUAUUAAAGUCUUCUGUCACAGUUGACUCAGCAAGAAUGAAGACAUUGAUACACUUUUGCAUUGCAUACACAACACUCAAAAUUAGUAAAACUAAAAUGAGUUAUAAAUUGUCGACAUUUUAAGAUAUGAAAAGAUAUUAUUGUUAAAUUUUGAGUUUGUAAAAUUUAUUUUCAGGUAUAAGAAAUCCUUAUCUGUACGUAACA